This 253-nucleotide ribosomal RNA is filed under the name uncultured bacterium. RNAcentral describes it as "partial 16S ribosomal RNA". It matches the Rfam family "Bacterial small subunit ribosomal RNA", at positions 524 to 776 of the family's 1533-position model. The record is from RNAcentral.
GACGUAGGGUGCGAGCGUUGUCCGGAUUUAUUGGGCGUAAAGAGCUCGUAGGCGGUUUGUCGCGUCGACUGUGAAAACCCGAGGCUUAACCUCGGGCCUGCAGUCGAUACGGGCAGACUAGAGUUCGGUAGGGGAGACUGGAAUUCCUGGUGUAGCGGUGAAAUGCGCAGAUAUCAGGAGGAACACCGGUGGCGAAGGCGGGUCUCUGGGCCGAUACUGACGCUGAGGAGCGAAAGCGUGGGGAGCGAACAGG